GACGAACGCUGGCGGCGUGCUUAACACAUGCAAGUCGAACGGAAAGGCCCUGCUUUUGUGGGGUGCUCGAGUGGCGAACGGGUGAGUAACACGUGAGUAACCUGCCCUUGACUUUGGGAUAACUUCAGGAAACUGGGGCUAAUACCGGAUAGGAGCUCCUGCUGCAUGGUGGGGGUUGGAAAGUUUCGGCGGUUGGGGAUGGACUCGCGGCUUAUCAGCUUGUUGGUGGGGUAGUGGCUUACCAAGGCUUCGACGGGUAGCCGGCCUGAGAGGGUGACCGGCCACAUUGGGACUGAGGUACGGCCCAGACUCCUACGGGGGGCAGCAGUGGGGAAUAUUGCACAAUGGGCGGAAGCCUGAUGCAGCAACGCCGCGUGCGGGAUGACGGCCUUCGGGUUGUAAACCGCUUUCGCCUGUGACGAAGCGUGAGUGACGGUAAUGGGUAAAGAAGCACCGGCUAACUACGUG
This 468-nucleotide ribosomal RNA is filed under the name uncultured bacterium. Its description in RNAcentral is "partial 16S ribosomal RNA". It matches the Rfam family "Bacterial small subunit ribosomal RNA", at positions 28 to 507 of the family's 1533-position model. The record is from RNAcentral.